Molecule: ribosomal RNA, 662 nt
Filed under: uncultured bacterium
Lineage: Bacteria
Description: bacterial SSU rRNA
Rfam family: Bacterial small subunit ribosomal RNA
Source: RNAcentral
GGGGAUAACACUUGGAAACAGGUGCUAAUACCGUAUAACACUAUUUUCCGCAUGGAAGAAAGUUGAAAGGCGCUUUUGCGUCACUGAUGGAUGGACCCGCGGUGCAUUAGCUAGUUGGUGAGGUAACGGCUCACCAAGGCCACGAUGCAUAGCCGACCUGAGAGGGUGAUCGGCCACACUGGGACUGAGACACGGCCCAGACUCCUACGGGAGGCAGCAGUAGGGAAUCUUCGGCAAUGGACGAAAGUCUGACCGAGCAACGCCGCGUGAGUGAAGAAGGUUUUCGGAUCGUAAAACUCUGUUGUUAGAGAAGAACAAGGAUGAGAGUAGAACGUUCAUCCCUUGACGGUAUCUAACCAGAAAGCCACGGCUAACUACGUGCCAGCAGCCGCGGUAAUACGUAGGUGGCAAGCGUUGUCCGGAUUUAUUGGGCGUAAAGCGAGCGCAGGCGGUUUCUUAAGUCUGAUGUGAAAGCCCCCGGCUCAACCGGGGAGGGUCAUUGGAAACUGGGAGACUUGAGUGCAGAAGAGGAGAGUGGAAUUCCAUGUGUAGCGGUGAAAUGCGUAGAUAUAUGGAGGAACACCAGUGGCGGAGGCGGCUCUCUGGUCUGUAACUGACGCUGAGGCUCGAAAGCGUGGGGAGCGAACAGGAUUAGAUACCCU